RNAcentral lists this ribosomal RNA (459 nucleotides) under uncultured bacterium. RNAcentral describes it as "partial 16S ribosomal RNA". It matches the Rfam family "Bacterial small subunit ribosomal RNA", at positions 338 to 795 of the family's 1533-position model. The record is from RNAcentral.
CCUACGGGUGGCAGCAGUGAGGCAUAUUGGUCAAUGGGCGUAAGCCUGAACCAGCCAAGUCGCGUGAGGGAUGAAGGUUCUAUGGAUCGUAAACCUCUUUUAUAAGGGAAUAAAGUGUGGGACGUGUCCUAUUUUGUAUGUACCUUAUGAAUAAGGAUCGGCUAACUCCGUGCCAGCAGCCGCGGUAAUACGGAGGAUCCGAGCGUUAUCCGGAUUUAUUGGGUUUAAAGGGUACGUAGGCGGAAUAUCAAGUCAGCGGUAAAACUUCGGGGCUCAACCCCGUCGUGCCGUUGAAACUGAUGUUCGUGAGUGGGCGAGAAGUAUGCGGAAUGCGUGGUGUAGCGGGGAAAUGCAUAGAUAUCACGCAGAACUCCGAUUGCGAAGGCAGCAUACCGGCGCCCAACUGACGCUGAAGCACGAAAGCGUGGGUAUCGAACAGGAUUAGAUACCCGGGUAGUC